Long non-coding RNA from Passer domesticus (house sparrow), 1865 nucleotides. RefSeq lists it as uncharacterized. The transcript is spliced from 3 exons. Lineage: Eukaryota; Metazoa; Chordata; Aves; Passeriformes; Passeridae. The record is from RefSeq and is a predicted model, not a curated record.
UGUUGGCAGCAUGGACAGGGGGAGCCAUGGAUACCCCAGGACUCUGAAACAGGGACCCCAGACAAUGCUGACCCCUGGGAUGCCUAUGAUGCCAAAGUGGUGAGCCCAGAGAAGGGGAACCUGCGGGAUUGCCAGGAGCCCCAGCAGCCCAGAGAGGGGAACACCAAUACAAACCUGACCCGCAGCAACCCAGACAGGGGGGCCUCUAGGAGCCCAAAGUGGAGAGACCAGAGAGGGGAAACUGAGGGUUGGGUAUUUUUGCUGCAUCUUGGUAAUUUGUGCAUUUUGAGGGACUGAAUCUUGGUGUUUUGGGGGUUUACAUAGGCACCAGAUUCCCAGUGACUUCUAGAGUGUGCAGGCAGAGGGGCCCAACAUUGGAACUGCAAUAGCUCAGGGCAAAGGUGACCAGGGUCAGAGAGAGACACCCCUCUGAGGACAAUGGUCUCACCAUAAGCAUUUGCAGGCUCAUGUGAAUGCAGCAGGCUUCAUUGGUAUCACCCAGUCCAGCUGCCCUUUUUUCCUUAUAUGUACUCCCCCUAGAAUGUUCUCCCAUCUCUUGUCCCCUAUUGGUCCCGGUUUACUGCAAUGCUCCGCCCCUGUUACCUCAUUGGUUCCCCAGUUGGCUGCCCCUCCUCUGCACCACUUGUGCUCAGUUCCCAUUGGCCCUUGGCCCUCAGACCCGCCCCUUCCCCCCUUAUCAAACUCUGUGUCCUCAGCCCCAUUUUGUCUCUGUCUUUGGAUCCCCUGCAUUGCAAUAAACUGUGUUUGGAGCUGUGCACACAGACCCGUCUCUGGCCUUGUCCGUCAGCAGGAUUUCUCAUUCCCAAACCUUGGCCGGAUGGAGGAGGAGGCUGUGAGGAAGAGGAAGAAGCCCUGGAACACGCAGGCAGAAAAGGAGCUGAGGAUGGAGAGCAGGGAGGAAAAAUCCCCACAGAAGAACCCCAUGGAAGAGGCUGUAUUGAGCAGCUCAACGGCACAGGAAUCCAACAGAGAGGAAAAGCCCCAGAGAUCCCACAGGACCAGGGGCUCCAAACCCAGCCCAGGUUGCUCUGAGGUGGACAGACCCACCCUGUGCCAGGAAGGUGGACAGAGCUUCAGGCAGAGCUGGUGGCCCAUGAGCAGCUUCAUGAUGCGGAGAAGCCCUAGAAGCGUUUGGAGUGUGGGAAGAGCUUCAGGAAGAGCAGCACCCUGAUCCGCCACCAGAUGAUCCACACUGGGGAAUGGGCCUACGAGUGUGGGGAGUGUGGGAAGGGCUUCAGGUGCGGCUCUGAGCUCGUCAUCCACCAACGCAUCCACACUGGGGAGAGACCCUAUGAAUGUCCCCAGUGUUGGAAGAGGUUUCACACCAGUUCCAAUCUCCUCCUUCGCGAGCGGAUUCACACCGAGGAGAGCCCCUUCCGCUGCCCCGACUGCGGGAAGGGCUUCAAGUACAACUCCCACCUCAUCACCCACCGGUGCAUCCACAGUGGGGAGAGGCCCUACGAGUGUCGCCAGUGUGGGAAGAGCUUCACCCAGAGCUGUAACCUGAACAGACACGUAUGGAAGCACCGGUAAGAGAAGCCUUGCAAAUGUCCCUGCAGGGAGAGCUUCAUGCCUGGCUCCAGCUUCAUACCCAAUUGGAGGACCCACAUUGGGAAAAGACCUGUGAUCCAUGUUCACUGUAAUCCAUGCUGGGAUGACACCUGUCCCUUCUCCUGCCCCUGGCAAUGACAUGAUGUGGGAUUGAAGAACAUGAGGAUCUGGCUGGGGCCAUGUCAUUAUAUUCACUCCCAUCUCAGGUCAUUGCCAGGGGCAGGAAAGGGUUCCUCUCUCCCUGAGGAGAAGGGUGUCCUUCCCAGGCAGGAGGAAAUAAGUGGCCAGGAUGA